RNAcentral lists this small RNA (566 nucleotides) under Pongo abelii (Sumatran orangutan). Its description in RNAcentral is "processed transcript". Lineage: Eukaryota; Metazoa; Chordata; Mammalia; Primates; Hominidae. The record is from RNAcentral.
AUAUUGCCCAAGUUGGAGCCUCCAGCGUAGUAGGAUCCAUGCCUUCCAGUAUGUCAUCUAUGGAACUGCCUCUUUCUUCUUCCUUUAUGGGGCCCUCCUGCUGGCUGAGGGCUUCUACACCACCGGCGCAGUCAGGCAGAUCUUUGGCGACUACAAGACCACCAUCUGCGGCAAGGGCCUGAGCGCAACGUUUGUGGGCAUCACCUAUGCCCUGACCGUUGUGUGGCUCCUGGUGUUUGCCUGCUCUGCUGUGCCUGUGUAUAUUUACUUCAACACCUGGACCACCUGCCAGUCUAUUGCCUUCCCCAGCAAGACCUCUGCCAGUAUAGGCAGUCUCUGUGCUGAUGCCAGAAUGUAUGGUGUUCUCCCAUGGAAUGCUUUCCCUGGCAAGGUUUGUGGCUCCAACCUUCUGUCCAUCUGCAAAACAGCUGAGUUCCAAAUGACCUUCCACCUGUUUAUUGCUGCAUUUGUGGGGGCUGCAGCUACACUGGUUUCCCUGCUCACCUUCAUGAUUGCUGCCACUUACAACUUUGCCGUCCUUAAACUCAUGGGCCGAGGCACCAAGU